ACCUCCCUGGCCCAGUGGCUAAGACUCUGCUCUCCCAAUGCAGAGGGCCCAGGUUUGAUCCCUGGUGGAGGAA
RNAcentral lists this transfer RNA (73 nucleotides) under Bos taurus (domestic cattle). It matches the Rfam family "tRNA". Rfam says of the family: Transfer RNA (tRNA) molecules are approximately 80 nucleotides in length. Their secondary structure includes four short double-helical elements and three loops (D, anti-codon, and T loops). RNAcentral also lists the same sequence under 3 other names. Lineage: Eukaryota; Metazoa; Chordata; Mammalia; Artiodactyla; Bovidae. The record is from Rfam by way of RNAcentral.